ACUACGGGGGGCAGCAGUGAGGAAUAUUGGUCAAUGGGCGGGAGCCUGAACCAGCCAAGUCGCGUGAGGGAAGACGGUCCUAUGGAUUGUAAACCUCUUUAGGCGGGGAGCAAUGCCGGGCACGCGUGCCUGGAGGGAGAGUACCCGCAGAAUAAGCAUCGGCUAACUCCGUGCCAGCAGCAGCGUUAAUACGGGGGAUGCGAGCGUUUUCCGGAUUAAUUGGGUUUAAAGGGUGCGUAGGCGGGUUUUUAAGUCAGCGGUAAAAGGCCGGGGCCCAACCCGGGCCGGCCGUUGAAACUGGGGAUCUUGAGUGGGCGAGAAGUAUGCGGAAUGCGCGGUGUAGCGGUGAAAUGCAUAGAUAUCGCGCAGAACUCCGAUUGCGAAGGCAGCAUACCGGCGCCCGACUGACGCUGAGGCACGAAAGCGUGGGGAUCGAACAGGAUUAGAUACCCUGGUAGUC
RNAcentral lists this ribosomal RNA (460 nucleotides) under uncultured bacterium. RNAcentral describes it as "partial 16S ribosomal RNA". It matches the Rfam family "Bacterial small subunit ribosomal RNA", at positions 338 to 795 of the family's 1533-position model. The record is from RNAcentral.